UGUUAAAAAUUUUGUUAAUUUUUACUGUUAAAAAUUGACAUGGUUGAUAGAAUAACAUAUAGCUACACGUGACAUGCCACUUGUACCUCAUACUAAAUUACAUGGACCAGCUUUUAACAAUAAAAAUGGAUAAAAUUUUUAACA
Gossypium hirsutum (cotton) is the source of this 144-nucleotide non-coding RNA. The record is from Rfam. Lineage: Eukaryota; Viridiplantae; Streptophyta; Magnoliopsida; Malvales; Malvaceae.